Long non-coding RNA from Fukomys damarensis (Damara mole-rat), 2153 nucleotides. Lineage: Eukaryota; Metazoa; Chordata; Mammalia; Rodentia; Bathyergidae. The record is from Ensembl.
GUGGGGUUCAGGAGGCCUGCAAGGGCUGAGAUUACUCUGCUUCACAGAGGGAGAAGACUCUCCAGGGCUGUUACAAGAAACAGUGACCCCUGAGCUUGGUGACUUCUUACUCUCUGGUGCCUACGGCUGAUGGAAGUGGCAGGCUUCUGGGUGGGUGCCCUGAGGGGCUGUCUAACCCUCUGCCCCCAUUUCCCACAUGUGGAGUUGACCAGACAGCCUGAGGUGUUCAGGGGACUUUGUGCUUACAGUUUCUUCCGUGGUCCCUGGGAACAGAAGAGUUUCAGAGGAUUUUAAGCAGCAACAACAACCGAUGAUAAAUAAUACUUUACAUAUGUCCUUCUUGCCAAUGGGCAUCUAAGAGUUGUGCACACACUGACUUGCUCAAUCCUUACAACAACCCUAGGAAAUAGGAGCUGCAAUCAUCCCAGUUUGCAAAAGAAAGAGAGGAAAAGAGUUAGGGAGGAAAGGUAGUGAGUUUGCACUCCAUCAUUACAACCGAAUAUCUGAGAAGUUUGUUCUGUUCGCAUAUUUUGGAGGCUGAAAACCAGGACCAGGCAGCUCCAUGGAUUCAGCGUCUGGUGAGGACCUUGUGGCAAGAUGGCUCAGCAUCAGAAAGCUCUUCCCACCCACACCCAGGAGUCCCAGAGAGUGAUGCCACAGCCUGUUUCUGAGCGCCAGCCAGUGUCCUGCAGGCAACACGUUGCUGAUGCCAGGGAAGCUAAAGGAUGGUCUCCCUCACCUCAGAGCCACUCAUCCCACCCUACUUGCUCUUCCCAAGGCCGUCCUGGAAGUCUCUUCGGCGCCUUUAGUUAUCCCGGUGCCCUGUGUCAACUCAAAACGUUGACCUUUCAUGGUUGUUUUGAUUUGGGGGAAGAACAAGAAGUCACCCGGUGCCAGAUCUGCUGCGAAAGGUGGACGAGGACACUGAUGUUUGCGUGAGCCUGCAUUCCUGCUGGGCGGCCCUCGGCGGCAGCAUUCGCUGUAUACUUUUUAAACCCACCUCAUGAAAUCACUCACGAAAGCGGACUCCAGAACUGCUUCAGAAAGUGGAGACAAUGGUGGGGUAAGUGUGUUUGAAGCCAGGGGAGGCGUUUGGAAGGGUAUUAGGGGCUAUGUGUCUGUUACUGUAAUAACUUAUAAAAAUUUAAGCAUUUGCCCUAUAUUGGACCAUCCUGUAUAUAAUGUUGCUUUUCAUUUUAGCGUGUCAUCUGAUUGGCCGUCUUAAGUGAAGUCUUUGUGGGAACCGUGAGUAUUCUUACGUGUCACUAAGUUUUAGACAAAGAGAAAGCAGGGGGUUAUUUUCAGAAUCAAUUCCAUCUGCUCAGGCCUUUGCUUAUGAUCUUCAGUGUCCAACGAGACCUAAUUAUUUGGACUUCAUUAACACCUUUUAAAUCAGAAUUUCUACCUCUCAGAACAGGGUCCUGUGGAACUGGCCAUAAUACAAUGUGACUGCCAUCUUGUGGUUUUUGACUGCUCUGCAAACCUGAGAGUAGAAAAUAGGGUUUUUAGGAAGUAAUGGUUGUUAAAGGCAUACCAAUUCAUUUUUAAGAAGUUAUUUUACCAGAAAAAUGUCAGGCCUAUGUUGGACAUUUGUCAGUGCAGUGAGAGAGAAUGAUUUGCUCCUGAGGACGGAGGCGUGGAUGGUUAGAGGACUGUGUCGGUGUGGGGUGAGCAGAGCAGGUUCGAUCUGGAUUCCUAUAAUGGUACUGGAGUCUCGUGGCAUUGCAGCAAGGCAGUGUUUUGCUUGACUCUGAUUUUAGCUUCUGUCCGAUGUGAUGCUCCAUGAUUUGUGGUAUAAUAUGGUCCUGCAAUCUGUAGAUUAUCUUUGAAACAUAUGUCUUUUUUCAUAGGAGGGCUUUGGGCCUUCAUGCUAGGGAGCUCUUGCCUGUUUAAAUCCCUUUGCUUCUCAGUGUUCCCUAUUAUCUUUGUGUUGUUCUGUGAUUACCUUAAUGCCAGUGUUGUUUGACUACUUCACAGUGAGCUGAUCACCUCACAGUUUUGUCUCCCAGGCCCAGUGACCUCCCAGCACACAGAAGGGGGACGGCAGAGGGUCAUCUCUGACAGGGAAGCCCGAGUCAGGCAUGAGGGGGUGAGAUGUUCUGAAAAUACUGUCCCACUGAAAACCAUCACACACAGGGUAAAUUCUAGCAAAC